RNAcentral lists this long non-coding RNA (527 nucleotides) under Paramuricea clavata. Lineage: Eukaryota; Metazoa; Cnidaria; Anthozoa; Malacalcyonacea; Plexauridae. The record is from RNAcentral.
AAUAUUGUUAUUAUGGGAAUAUGAUAUGCAGUAAAUUAAAGCCCUGCAUAAAAGAACCAGUGAAUUUUGACUUCAGGCUGAAGUGGUUCUUAUAUAAUCUUAUGCGCGAAUCAAAUCGAAACCUUGACAUCCCCCCCGGGCAUACCCCCGGGAAUUUGGAUUUUGACGUUUUGGUCAGGUCAAAUUCCCUACAUAUAUUUGUAAUUCCCGUUCAAAUACACCACGUAUUGGGAAAAAUUGGAGUUCAAAUACCCCACCCCAUGUACGAAUUGGAAGCUACAGCAUUUCGCAAUUUUGGAAUUUCAAAGUUUUUCUUUCCUUCAAAAACUCUCUUCAAUCGUUUAAAGCUGUUUUCUUGUAGCCAACCAAGGACAAAGUUAAUUCCUUUGCACUUGAAGACCUUGAACUCAUCCAUUAAUUAUUGACGCCAUUUUGGAUUCUGCACACGUGUUUUAAAAGAAAAAUUCAAAUUCCCGACCCAGGUUCAAAUUCCCCACCUUCCACUAGAAAAAAGGUCAAAUUCCCGC